UUGAGCCGUAUGUGCUGAAAGGCACACGUGCGGUUCUUAGGGGGGAAGGGGAUAGUAAUAUCCCUGACCUACCCGAC
This 77-nucleotide non-coding RNA is filed under the name Halobacillus alkaliphilus. The record is from RNAcentral. Lineage: Bacteria; Bacillati; Bacillota; Bacilli; Caryophanales; Bacillaceae.